Molecule: ribosomal RNA, 987 nt
Filed under: Triticum aestivum (bread wheat)
Lineage: Eukaryota; Viridiplantae; Streptophyta; Magnoliopsida; Poales; Poaceae
Description: partial small subunit ribosomal RNA
Source: RNAcentral
UCCUUCCCUCUCCUCACGCGGACCAACUACCCCAGUUGGUCCGUCCUGAUGAAAGUCAUCAUGGAGGCAUGGCAUAUGUGGAAAGCCGUGGAAACCGGCGAUGUAGAGUACGAGGAGGACCGGCUGGCGAUGGAGGCGAUCUUGCACUCCGUCCCAGAGGAGAUGGUGCUCACCCUUGGCGCCAAGGAGACAGCCAAGGAAGCAUGGGACACCAUCAAGACUCUGCGCAUCGGCGUGGAGCGCGUACAGGAGUCGAAGGCCUAGACCUUGCGCCUCCAGUACGAGGAGAUCCGGUUCAAGGCCGGUGAACAAGUCGACGACUUCGCUUUGCGGCUGCAAGGUCUCGUCAACGAGCUCGCAACGCUCAGAGAUCACAUCGACAACAAGAUGGUGAUUCUGAAGUUCCUCUGCGUCGUCCCCAGGCAGUACAAGCAACUGGCCUGGUCCAUCAAGAGCUUUGUGGAUCUCUCCACCAUGACGAUCGAGGAGCUGGUCGGGCGGCUGAAGGUCGUCGAGGAGUGCGGCGACGAAGCCGACAACCGUGCUGGCGGCGAACUACUGCUCACCAGGGAGCAGUGGGACGUGCAGCUUCAACAGCGCGGCCGCGACGGCUCUUUUGGCAGUGGGGGAGGCGCCCCCACGGGAAGCAGAGGUUGCGGUAGAGGCGGAGGCCGCACCCAGAGCGAUGGCGGCAACCGCGGUCGCAAGCCAAGCCGGGCAGGGCGAGGCGGUGGCAACGGUGGCAAGUGCCGCUACUGCGACAUGCCGGGUCACUGGAUCCAGGAUUGCCACAAGAGGAAAGCCGAUGAGGCAGCCGCGGCAACGGCAAACCUCGUCCAGGCUGACAUGCACGGCGGGCCGGCAAUGAUGCUGGCAAGAGUCGAGCCCGUGCAGGAGAGCUCAGCGUCUCCGCGACCAUGGCCCCGACAACCACGCAUUCCGUGCAGGAGGCACGGAGCCCGUCAAAAGGAACCAUCACUCAAGUGA